GAUGAACGCUGGCGGCGUGCCUAAUACAUGCAAGUCGAGCGAACAGACGAUGCGCUUGCUCCUCUGACGUUAGCGGCGGACGGGAGAGUAACACGUGGAUCACCUACCUAUAAUACUGGUAUCACUUCGGGACACCGGCGCUAAUACCGGAUAACAUGCUGAACCGCAUGGUUCAACGGUGAAAGUCGGUUUUGCUGUCUCUUAUCGAUGCAUCCGGGUCGCAUUGGCUAGUUGGUAAGGUAACGGCUUACCAAGGCAACGAUGCGUAGCCGACCUGAGAGAGGGGUAGGCCACCUUGGAGGUGGAACGGCGUCAAGACUACUAAGGGACGCAGCAGUCGGCAAUCUUCGGCAGUAGGCGAGAGCCUGACGGAGCGACGCCAAGUGAGUGAAGAAGGUCUUCGGAUCGUAAAACUCUGUUAUUAGGGGAGAACAAAUGUGGAAGUAGCUAUGCACGUCUUGACGGUACCUAAUCAGAAAGCAACGGCUAACUACGUG
This 497-nucleotide ribosomal RNA is filed under the name uncultured bacterium. Its description in RNAcentral is "partial 16S ribosomal RNA". It matches the Rfam family "Bacterial small subunit ribosomal RNA", at positions 28 to 507 of the family's 1533-position model. The record is from RNAcentral.